CUCUCUCAAACCUUUCCUCCCCCUCUCUCAAAGCGAGCAGAAGACUCCCUCAGAAGACUAAGGAUGAGGAAGUGUUUGGAUUAGUGUAUAAAAGAUGGCUUGGCUUGCAGAGCACCGAGAGGAAGAAGCUCUCUGCUCGAGCAUGACCACACAUGCUCCGGAAGAUGGCGGCUCGAUUCACUCGCCUCCAUCCCCUGGAUCUCUCUCAGUCUGUUUGUCGCUCUUUCUACCCGGGCGUCACCGAUUCCGAUCUCUCUGUCAUAGCUACUUCCUUCACUUGCUCGCGCUCUCUCAAUCUUCAGAAUUGCAAAGGUCACUGAAACACAAUCCCACAUUGUGUUUCCUGUUACAAAUUUUGCCAAUAAUUUGGAUUUGGGUUAAUUAGGGAUCUGGUAAAAUGUUUAAAAUUUCAAUUUGAAACACAAUCCCACAUUGUGUUUGGAGGCUCAUUUCAUGCUAUGGAAUUGUGCUAUGGAAUUGGAAUUUUGGUACAAAACUAGUUUAGAAUUUGAAUUGGCAUGAACACCGGCAUUUUCUUAUUUAAUAUCCAAUUUGUGUUCUGGGUUUCUUUACAGCGAGUUUUAGUCGAGUCAAACUUUGAACUUAAUGUGUGAGCUUUAGUCCAAUUUGUGUUCUGUUGCUGAGGGUUGUGCCAGCUUGAAGAGGUUGCAUCUUUCUGGUUGCAGAUUUGUUACGGAUGCACUAUUAGGAGCUCUUUCUAGAAACACUCAUAAUUUAGAAGAGUUGGGUUUGCAAGGCUGCACCAACAUAACUGACUCUGGACUUGUCGUUCUUGUUGAUGGGUGUCAACGGAUGAAGUAUUUAGGCAUCAACAAGUGCAACAAUGUUGGAGAUAAUGGAAUAUCCGGUAUAUCAAAAGCAUGCUCAGCUUCUCUGAAGAUCCUGCGGAUGGAUUGGUGUUUGAAUGUUUCCGACUCUUCAUUGAACUGCAUCCUCUCUCACUGGCUGCUGCCUGUAAUGUCAAUCCUCUCUCACUGCAUCCUCUCUUAUUUAGUCGAUAAAGUCAUUGGGGCUGAUACGGCAGUUUGGCUUGCCCUGCUUCCGGACCAGUUUGUGACUGGAAAAUUUUUCGCAUAAAGGCGUGAGAUUAAUUUCUGAAGGGGUUGCCUAGUUAAUUCAACUGCUAAAUGUGAGCAAACACAACUGUGGCACUUUGGGAUUGCUAUUUUAUCUCUAUUUUAGUGAAUUUGUUUAGUUUCUUUUUCAUACGGCGUCCAUCUGCAAAAUUGUAAAUCUCUAAAUAAAUGCCGAAAAUAGGAAAACAGGCAACCAAUUAAGAACUCUAAACAUGAAAUCUCAAACAGAGCAACCGCAUGUAGAUAUACAAAAUGAAAACAGCAUUACAUUAAGCAAAAGUCAUCGCGUACUUUACAAUCCAAUACGAUGUUGUUUCAUCUUCAAACCCAUAUAUGAAGUCCAUCCAUUUGAACUUACAUGGAUUAGAACACAAAUUAAUUUAAAAUAUAGAAGAUUGUAUAACACAGUGAAUAAACACCAUGGCUAUAAUGACAUUCUAGUAGGUAACGAC
This 1549-nucleotide long non-coding RNA is filed under the name Panax ginseng (ginseng). RNAcentral's name for it is "long non-coding RNA (PGIN_LNC009316)". Lineage: Eukaryota; Viridiplantae; Streptophyta; Magnoliopsida; Apiales; Araliaceae. The record is from RNAcentral.